Molecule: ribosomal RNA, 497 nt
Filed under: uncultured bacterium
Lineage: Bacteria
Description: partial 16S ribosomal RNA
Rfam family: Bacterial small subunit ribosomal RNA
Source: RNAcentral
UAUUAACGCUGGCGGCGUGCCUAAUACAUGCAAGUCGAGCGAACGGACGAGAAGCUUGCUUCUCUGAUGUUAGCGGCGGACGGGUGAGUAACACGUGGAUAACCUACCUAUAAGACUGGGAUAACUUCGGGAAACCGGAGCUAAUACCGGAUAAUAUUUUGAACCGCAUGGUUCAAAAGUGAAAGACGGUCUUGCUGUCACUUAUAGAUGGAUCCGCGCUGCAUUAGCUAGUUGGUAAGGUAACGGCUUACCAAGGCAACGAUGCAUAGCCGACCUGAGAGGGUGAUCGGCCACACUGGAACUGAGACACGGUCCAGACUCCUACGGGAGGCAGCAGUAGGGAAUCUUCCGCAAUGGGCGAAAGCCUGACGGAGCAACGCCGCGUGAGUGAUGAAGGUCUUCGGAUCGUAAAACUCUGUUAUUAGGGAAGAACAUAUGUGUAAGUAACUGUGCACAUCUUGACGGUACCUAAUCAGAAAGCCACGGCUAACUACGUG